UGAGGAAUAUUGGACAAUGGGCGCAAGCCUGAUCCAGCCAUGCCGCGUGCAGGAGGAAGCAUCUAUGGUGUGUAAACUGCUUUUGUACGGGAAGAAACACUCCUUCGUGAAGGAGCUUGACGGUACCAUAAGAAUAAGGAUCGGCUAACUCCGUGCCAGCAGCCGCGGUAAUACGGAGGAUCCAAGCGUUAUCCGGAAUCAUUGGGUUUAAAGGGUCCGUAGGCGGUUUAGUAAGUCAGUGGUGAAAGCCCAUCGCUCAACGAUGGAACGGCCAUUGAUACUGCUAGACUUGAAUUACAAGGAAGUAACUAGAAUAUGUAGUGUAGCGGUGAAAUGCUUAGAUAUUACAUGGAAUACCAAUUGCGAAGGCAGGUUACUACUUGUGGAUUGACGCUGAUGGACGAAAGCGUGGGGAGCGAACA
This 422-nucleotide ribosomal RNA is filed under the name uncultured bacterium. Its description in RNAcentral is "bacterial SSU rRNA". It matches the Rfam family "Bacterial small subunit ribosomal RNA", at positions 355 to 774 of the family's 1533-position model. The record is from RNAcentral.